Molecule: ribosomal RNA, 1248 nt
Filed under: Bacillus altitudinis
Lineage: Bacteria; Bacillati; Bacillota; Bacilli; Caryophanales; Bacillaceae
Description: bacterial LSU rRNA
Rfam family: Bacterial large subunit ribosomal RNA
Source: RNAcentral
AUGGUUAAGUUAGAAAGGGCGCACGGUGGAUGCCUUGGCACUAGGAGCCGAUGAAGGACGGGACGAACACCGAUAUGCUUCGGGGAGCUGUAAGCAAGCUUUGAUCCGGAGAUUUCCGAAUGGGGAAACCCACUGCUCGUAAUGGAGUAGUAUCCAUACUUGAAUACAUAGAGUAUGAGAAGGCAUACCCGGGGAACUGAAACAUCUAAGUACCCGGAGGAAGAGAAAGCAAAUGCGAUUCCCUGAGUAGCGGCGAGCGAAACGGGAACAGCCCAAACCAAGAGGCUUGCCUCUUGGGGUUGUAGGACACUCUAUACGGAGUUACAAAGGAACGAUAUAAGCGAAGAGGUCUGGAAAGGCCCGCCAAAGAAGGUAACAGCCCUGUAACUGAAAUGUUGUUCUCUCCAGAGUGGAUCCUGAGUACGGCGGAACACGUGAAAUUCCGUCGGAAUCCGGGAGGACCAUCUCCCAAGGCUAAAUACUCCCUAGUGACCGAUAGUGAACCAGUACCGUGAGGGAAAGGUGAAAAGCACCCCGGAAGGGGAGUGAAAUAGAUCCUGAAACCGUGUGCCUACAAGUAGUCAGAGCCCGUUAACGGGUGAUGGCGUGCCUUUUGUAGAAUGAACCGGCGAGUUACGAUCCCGUGCAAGGUUAAGCAGAAGAUGCGGAGCCGCAGCGAAAGCGAGUCUGAAUAGGGCGCAUGAGUACGUGGUCGUAGACCCGAAACCAGGUGAUCUACCCAUGUCCAGGGUGAAGUUCAGGUAACACUGAAUGGAGGCCCGAACCCACGCACGUUGAAAAGUGCGGGGAUGAGGUGUGGGUAGGGGUGAAAUGCCAAUCGAACCUGGAGAUAGCUGGUUCUCUCCGAAAUAGCUUUAGGGCUAGCCUCAAGGUAAGAGUCUCGGAGGUAGAGCACUGAUUGGACUAGGGGCCCCUACCGGGUUACCGAAUUCAGUCAAACUCCGAAUGCCGAUGACUUAUCCUUGGGAGUCAGACUGCGAGUGAUAAGAUCCGUAGUCGAAAGGGAAACAGCCCAGACCGCCAGCUAAGGUCCCAAAGUAUACGUUAAGUGGAAAAGGAUGUGGAGUUGCUUAGACAACCAGGAUGUUGGCUUAGAAGCAGCCACCAUUUAAAGAGUGCGUAAUAGCUCACUGGUCGAGUGACUCUGCGCCGAAAAUGUACCGGGGCUAAACGUAUCACCGAAGCUGCGGACUGUUCUUACGAACAGUGGUAGGAGAGCGUUCUAAG